AUGCACGCUGGCGGCGUGCCUAAUACAUGCACGUCGAGCGAACAGACGAGGAGCUUGCUCCUCUGACGUUAGCGGCGGACGGGUGAGUAACACGUGGAUAACCUACCUAUAAGACUGGGAUAACUUCGGGAAACCGGAGCUAAUACCGGAUAAUAUAUUGAACCGCAUGGUUCAAUAGUGAAAGACGGUUUUGCUGUCACUUAUAGAUGGAUCCGCGCCGCAUUAGCUAGUUGGUAAGGUAACGGCUUACCAAGGCAACGAUGCGUAGCCGACCUGAGAGGGUGAUCGGCCACACUGGAACUGAAACACGGUCCAGACUCCUACGGGAGGCAGCAGUAGGGAAUCUUCCGCAAUGGGCGAAAGCUUGACGGAGCAACGCCGCGUGAGUGAUGAAGGUCUUCGGAUCGUAAAACUCUGUUAUUAGGGAAGAACAAAUGUGUAAGUAACUAUGCACGUCUUGACGGUACCUAAUCAGAAAGCCACGGCUAACUACGUG
This 496-nucleotide ribosomal RNA is filed under the name uncultured bacterium. RNAcentral describes it as "partial 16S ribosomal RNA". It matches the Rfam family "Bacterial small subunit ribosomal RNA", at positions 29 to 507 of the family's 1533-position model. The record is from RNAcentral.